CGCAAGCCUGACGGAGCAACGCCGCGUGAGGGAUGGAGGCCUUUGGGCUGUAAACCUCUUUUCUCAAGGAAGAAGAUCUGACGGUACUUGAGGAAUAAGCCACGGCUAAUUCCGUGCCAGCAGCCGCGGUAAUACGGGAGUGGCAAGCGUUAUCCGGAAUUAUUGGGCGUAAAGCGUCCGCAGGCGGCCGUUUAAGUCUGUUGUUAAAUCGUGGAGCUCAACUCCAUCACGGCAAUGGAAACUGUUCGGCUUGAGUAUGGUAGGGGCAGAGGGAAUUUCCGGUGUAGCGGUGAAAUGCGUAGAUAUCGGGAAGAACACCAGUGGCAAAAGCGCUCUGCUGGGCCAUUACUGACGCUCAUGGACGAAAGCCAGGGGAGCGAAAGGGAUUAGAUACCCCUGUAGUCCUGGCCGUAAACGAUGAACACUAGAUGUUGGGGGAAUCGACCCCCUCGGUGUCGUAGCUAACGCGUUAAGUGUUCCGCCUGGGGAGUACGCACGCAAGUGUGAAACUCAAAGGAAUUGACGGGGGCCCGCACAAGCGGUGGAGUAUGUGGUUUAAUUCGAUGCAACGCGAAGAACCUUACCAAGGCUUGACAUCCUGCGAAUCUCCAAGAAAUUGGAGAGUGCCUUUUGGAACGCAGUGACAGGUGGUGCAUGGCUGUCGUCAGCUCGUGUCGUGAGAUGUUGGGUUAAGUCCCGCAACGAGCGCAACCCACGUUUUUAGUUGCCAGCAUUCAGUUGGGCACUCUAGAAAGACUGCCGGUGACAAACCGGAGGAAGGUGUGGACGACGUCAAGUCAUCAUGCCCCUUACGCCUUGGGCUACACACGUACUACAAUGCUGCGGACAAAGAGUAGCGAUCUUGCGAAAGUUAACUAAUCUCGUAAACCGCGGCUCAGUUCAGAUCGUAGGCUGCAACUCGCCUACGUGAAGGAGGAAUCGCUAGUAAUCGCAGGUCAGCAUACUGCGGUGAAUACGUUCCCGGGCCUUGUACACACCGCCCGUCACACCAUGGAAGUUGGCCAUGCCCGAAGUCGUUACUCUAACCUUUUGGAAGAGGGCGCCGAAGGCAGGGCUAAUGACUGGGGUGAAGUCGUAACAAGGUAGCCGUAGCGGAAGCUGCGGCUGGAUCACCUCCUAA
This 1141-nucleotide ribosomal RNA is filed under the name Candidatus Synechococcus spongiarum. RNAcentral's name for it is "bacterial SSU rRNA". It matches the Rfam family "Bacterial small subunit ribosomal RNA", at positions 376 to 1533 of the family's 1533-position model. Lineage: Bacteria; Bacillati; Cyanobacteriota; Cyanophyceae; Synechococcales; Synechococcaceae. The record is from RNAcentral.